RNAcentral lists this ribosomal RNA (442 nucleotides) under uncultured bacterium. RNAcentral's name for it is "bacterial SSU rRNA". It matches the Rfam family "Bacterial small subunit ribosomal RNA", at positions 958 to 1398 of the family's 1533-position model. The record is from RNAcentral.
AACGCGAAGAACCUUACCAGGCCUUGACAUGCAUCUCUAAACCGGUGAAAGCCGGCGAGUGUCGAAAGACACAAUUUGCACAGGUGCUGCAUGGCUGUCGUCAGCUCGUGUCGUGAGAUGUUGGGUUAAGUCCCGCAACGAGCGCAACCCUUGUCCUGUGUUGCCAUGCCGAAAGGCGGAACUCGCAGGAGACCGCCAGCGAUAAGCUGGAGGAAGGUGGGGAUGACGUCAAGUCCUCAUGGCCUUUAUGUCCAGGGCUACACACGUGCUACAAUGGGCGGUACAAAGCGCUGCGAAGCCGCAAGGUGGAGCCAAUCGCAAAAAGCCGCUCUCAGUUCGGAUUGCAGGCUGCAACUCGCCUGCAUGAAGCUGGAAUCGCUAGUAAUGCUAUAUCAGAACGAUAGCGUGAAUACGUUCCCGGGCCUUGUACACACCGGAGUGC